GCACACACGCUGCCCUUUAUUAGAACCAGUUAUAGUUUUUCCCUCUAAAACCCUAUCACCCAUCCGGGUAAUAAAUCAAACGUGUUCCAUUGCAUAAACCCAAUGAUUGAUUAAUAUUUCUGAGAAGCAUAACAGAAACACCAACCUGAGCGGUCGGACCACCAGACACAUCCGAAGAACCUCCUAAAAGAAUAUGCGUACAACAUGAACCAAGCAAAACAUAACCUCCCGCGUCGACAAACAAGUAUAACUUAUUGGUAAACUAAUACCAGGAAACACAGUCGGACAACCAACAAUAGGAUCAACAAUAAAUUACGCAGCGUCCCGACCAUCAAAUCCAGAUGAAGAAUUACCUGCGCGCAAGAAAAAUAUUAUAAAUAAAUGAAAGCGUAGAUUAAAACAGUCGACCAGUAACUUACUUGCAAGUAGAUAGCUCACACAGAAUAUGAAUUAGUAUAAAGAAACACAUGCACGUUGUAACAUCAGCCUACACUACUGCAUGCACGUAGUGCCUGAUAACCGGAAAGCAAGCUCGCAUGAACUGCUAAUCCAUCGACAAAGGACCCACCAAACAUUUUUUUCAUUAUAAGAAAUACUAAUGCAAUCCACUGGAGAAGUGCCGGAUCACACACAUGCACGCAGUCACAUCAACCUACACAGCUGCAUGCAUGCAUGCACUCGCAGAUCACCAAAGCAUUUUCCUAAACAGAUGUAGUUGCGUCAACUCACCGGCAACAAAACCAACAGGAUGCUUUCCUAAACGAAUCUCUCGGCGCCGACGGCGCAAUUCACCGGCGGACGCAGGGGCGGACCCAGGACAAAAAUGUCCCGGUGUCCCAUGUCUAUCCCAUACUCCACUUGUGGAUAUCAAACAAUAAUAUGAAUAUAUUAAUACACUUAACAGUUCAAUAUGUAUAGAAAGCCAUGUAAUAGUAAAAAUACUUACACAAAUCCAAAAUGACAAGUUUGAAUUAAAAUGGUAGUUGAUAGGAGGGAAAUGAACAAUAGUGGAUCAUCGAGUCUCCAAGAAAAAUGCGGCAUUAGGUGUCAAUUGUCUACAAAUAAACAAAAUCACUUAGUAUAAUCAUUAUGUAAACUUGCGUAAUCGAAAAAAACUGAAAAGUUAAGAUCAUUACUUUCAAAAUGGGAUAUGCAUCAUUUAGUUAAUGUGAGGGGGCAAUAUCUUUACCUUGAAUCAAUUUUAGGUCCCCCUUUUCCCUAGAAACCUUGCCAUAAAAUCUGCUAAC
This 1247-nucleotide long non-coding RNA is filed under the name Triticum aestivum (bread wheat). RNAcentral's name for it is "long non-coding RNA (TAES_LNC028033)". Lineage: Eukaryota; Viridiplantae; Streptophyta; Magnoliopsida; Poales; Poaceae. The record is from RNAcentral.